AUGAACCCUAAUGCUAGUCCGGGUCCGGACGGCUUCGACCCAGGCUUCUAUAGGAAAUUCUGGCCCAUCCUAAAAGAAAAAAUUUGGCUAUUUUUCCUGGAGUUCCAUUCCCAAACAAGUGAUAUCUCGUAUUUAAAUCGGGCUCUCAUUAUCCUCCUCCCAAAGCAUCAGGAAGCCAGAUCACCUGCUGAUUUCCGACCCAUCUCUCUUCAAAACUGCCCGAUCAAAGGGGUUGCAAAGCUUCUUACUAACCGACUAAAGCACCUCAUUCCUCUCCUCGUCCAUGCUGACCAAACAGGCUUUCUCUCAAGCCGCAACAUCUCCGAGAACUCCCUUUACGCUGCAGAUAUCCUUCAUUGCUGUGCAAAGAGGAAAGCCCCUUCCCUCAUUGUCAAACUUGACUUUAGGAAAGCUUUUGAGUCUGUCUGCUGGUCCUCCCUCCUCCACAUCCUGCGGGUCAGAGGGUUCUCCCCUCGGUGGUGUGAUUGGAUCGAAUCAUUGCUUACCACUGGGUCUACCGCAGUGAUGCUCAAUGGCAUCCCCGGAAGAUGGAUCCAAUGCAAAAAUGGCCUCCGGCAAGGUGACCCUCUCUCUCCGUAUCUGUUCAUCAUUGUUGCUGAUAUCCUACAACAAAUGAUC
Molecule: ribosomal RNA, 639 nt
Filed under: Triticum aestivum (bread wheat)
Lineage: Eukaryota; Viridiplantae; Streptophyta; Magnoliopsida; Poales; Poaceae
Description: partial small subunit ribosomal RNA
Source: RNAcentral